RNAcentral lists this ribosomal RNA (449 nucleotides) under uncultured bacterium. RNAcentral's name for it is "partial 16S ribosomal RNA". It matches the Rfam family "Bacterial small subunit ribosomal RNA", at positions 28 to 523 of the family's 1533-position model. The record is from RNAcentral.
GAUGAACGCUGGCGGCGUGCCUAAGGCAUGCAAGUCGAACGAAGGCUUCGGCCUUAGUGGCGCACGGGUGCGUAACGCGUGGGAAUCUGCCCUCAGGUUCGGAAUAACAGCGAGAAAUUGCUGCUAAUACCGGAUGAUAUCGCGAGAUCAAAGAUUUAUCGCCUGAGGAUGAGCCCGCGUAGGAUUAGCUAGUUGGUGUGGUAAAGGCGCACCAAGGCGACGAUCCUUAGCUGGUCUGAGAGGAUGAUCAGCCACACUGGGACUGAGACACGGCCCAGACUCCUACGGGAGGCAGCAGUGGGGAAUAUUGGACAAUGGGCGAAAGCCUGAUCCAGCAAUGCCGCGUGAGUGAUGAAGGCCUUAGGGUUGUAAAGCUCUUUUACCCGGGAUGAUAAUGACAGUACCGGGAGAAUAAGCUCCGGCUAACUCCGUGCCAGCAGCCGCCGUAA